AACGAACGAUGGCGGCAUGCCUAACACAUGCAAGUCGAACGAGACCUUCGGGUCUAGUGGCGCACGGGUGCGUAACGCGUGGGAACCUGCCCUUAGGUUCGGAAUAACUCCCCGAAAGGGGUGCUAAUACCGGAUAAUGUCUUCGGACCAAAGAUUUAUCGCCUUUGGAUGGGCCCGCGUUGGAUUAGCUAGUUGGUAGGGUAAAAGCCUACCAAGGCGACGAUCCAUAGCUGGUCUGAGAGGAUGAUCAGCCACACUGGGACUGAGACACGGCCCAGACUCCUACGGGAGGCAGCAGUGGGGAAUAUUGGACAAUGGGCGAAAGCCUGAUCCAGCAAUGCCGCGUGAGUGAUGAAGGCCUUAGGGUUGUAAAGCUCUUUUACCCGGGAUGAUAAUGACAGUACCGGGAGAAUAAGCUCCGGCUAACUCCAUG
Molecule: ribosomal RNA, 433 nt
Filed under: uncultured bacterium
Lineage: Bacteria
Description: partial 16S ribosomal RNA
Rfam family: Bacterial small subunit ribosomal RNA
Source: RNAcentral